RNAcentral lists this ribosomal RNA (413 nucleotides) under Pediococcus pentosaceus. RNAcentral's name for it is "bacterial SSU rRNA". It matches the Rfam family "Bacterial small subunit ribosomal RNA", at positions 228 to 634 of the family's 1533-position model. The record is from RNAcentral. Lineage: Bacteria; Bacillati; Bacillota; Bacilli; Lactobacillales; Lactobacillaceae.
GACCCGAGGCGUUUUAUCUUGUUGGUGAGGUAAAGGAUCAACAAAGCAGUGAUACGUAGCCGCCCUGAGAGGGUAAUCGGCCACAUUGGGACUGAGACACGGCCCAGACUCCUACGGGAGGCAGCAGUAGGGAAUUUUCCACAAUGGACGCAAGUUUGAUGGAGCAACGCCGCUUGAGUGAAGAAGGGUUUCGGCUUGUAAAGCUCUGUUGUUAAAGAAGAACGUGGGUAAGAGUAACUGUUUACCCAGUGACGGUAUUUAACCAGAAAGCCACGGCUAACUACGUGCCAGCAGCCGCGGUAAUACGUAGGUGGCAAGCGUUAUCCGGAUUUAUUGGGCGUAAAGCGAGCGCAGGCGGUCUUUUAAGUCUAAUGUGAAAGCCUUCGGCUCAACCGAAGAAGUGCAUGGAAACU